AACGAUCGACGCCACUUGAGAGGACCUUUAUUAGCAACAAGGCACGCGCUGCACGCCGCAUAUACAUUAUGCUAAGAAACAGAGCCUGCAGUGUCGCCCCAGUUGUUUAUACACUGUUGUGUUAACAAAGAGGGUACAUUAAUUCUAAAUGUUAACUCAUGCGUGGUUAACGCUCUGCCUUUCUACAUACAUUUAUUCUGUAUACAACCACACUUGUUAAAAGGCACCGUGUGGAGUUUUCCCCGUCAAAUGCAUGUUGCAUUGUGUUAUUGAAGCAUAUGUUACGUUAAAUGUAUUUCUUUCUUCAUAAAACAUCAGCUAAGAUGUUGUUGAAUCAUUUCAAACCUGCUUUGUGGUCGUCUACGUUGACAUCGACUAUCGGUCUUACUCCUCCGCUCUGUUUUCUGCCGCCAACUAUCGAUCAGGUUGGUGAACGUCAUCCGUUAGUCUGCGAUAAACCUUGUGUACUUUGAAGCACGAGAGAACAAAGUGAAACGGCCAACCGCCUGUUGGGUGGAAUUUCAGUCUGCGUUUGUCUGUACAGGACAGGCGGCGACCUGAAGACGGACCUUAUACAUGCAUUCUUUCUAAUCGCCAUCAGGAGGCGACACGUGUGCUUAGAUAAAGGAAGUUUGGUUGUAUUGUUUGUGUAAGUUUAUGAGAGAAUUUAUCACUUAAUUAGUGAAAUAGAGCCGUCAGUCCGUUGUGAUUGACGGGUCACUAACCCAAAAUUCAGGUCAUGAAAGUGAAGUGUAACCUCUCUGAUUGCCUAAACGUGUCUAAAUUAGCUUCCGGUUGUACAUACUGAGUAGAAGCGGGUUUAGUGGAAACUCAGAGUUUGUUAACCCUGAGAUGAGGGAACGUAAGUUCUUCAACCGCCGUUGCGGCCAAAAACCGAGAUGGCGACGAUUGUUUAGCGAUGAUAACCAAAAGCGUCCACAAUUGGCAAAGUAGUUCCAUAUGUGAUCAGGCUGAAAGUUAAAUCAGGGCUGUGCAUCACUUCUUGUUCUCCCAAGUGGGCAGCCAAUCAGCAGUCAUGUCAGUAUUGCGCCUACGCCUUUCUAAAAAUCAGGGCGGUGACU
Molecule: long non-coding RNA, 1082 nt
Organism: Gasterosteus aculeatus aculeatus (three-spined stickleback)
Lineage: Eukaryota; Metazoa; Chordata; Actinopteri; Perciformes; Gasterosteidae
Source: Ensembl